GACGAACGCUGGCGGCGUGCCUAAUACAUGCAAGUUGAGCGCUGAAGGUUGGUACUUGUACCAACUGGAUGAGCAGCGAACGGGUGAGUAACGCGUGGGGAAUCUGCCUUUGAGCGGGGACAACAUUUGGAAACGAAUGCUAAUACCGCAUAAAAACUUUAAACACAAGUUUUAAGUUUGAAAGAUGCCAUUGCAUCACUCAAAGAUGAUCCCGCGUUGUAUUAGCUAGUUGGUGAGGUAAAGGCCCACCAAGGCGAUGAUACAUAGCCGACCUGAGAGGGUGAUCGGCCACAUUGGGACUGAGACACGGCCCAAACUCCUACGGGAGGCAGCAGUAGGGAAUCUUCGGCAAUGGACGAAAGUCUGACCGAGCAACGCCGCGUGAGUGAAGAAGGUUUUCGGAUCGUAAAACUCUGUUGGUAGAGAAGAACGUUGGUGAGAGUGGAAAGCUCAUCAAGUGACGGUAACUACCCAGAAAGGGACGGCUAACUACGUG
This 496-nucleotide ribosomal RNA is filed under the name uncultured bacterium. RNAcentral describes it as "partial 16S ribosomal RNA". It matches the Rfam family "Bacterial small subunit ribosomal RNA", at positions 28 to 507 of the family's 1533-position model. The record is from RNAcentral.